This 503-nucleotide ribosomal RNA is filed under the name uncultured bacterium. RNAcentral's name for it is "bacterial SSU rRNA". It matches the Rfam family "Bacterial small subunit ribosomal RNA", at positions 60 to 563 of the family's 1533-position model. The record is from RNAcentral.
AGUCGAACGAAGCACCUUGAUUUGAUUCUUCGGAUGAAGACCUUGGUGACUGAGUGGCGGACGGGUGAGUAACGCGUGGGUAACCUGCCUCAUACAGGGGGAUAACAGUUAGAAAUGACUGCUAAUACCGCAUAAGACCACAGCACCGCAUGGUGCAGGGGCAAAAACUCCGGUGGUAUGAGAUGGACCCGCGUCUGAUUAGGUAGUUGGUGGGGUAACGGCCUACCAAGCCGACGAUCAGUAGCCGACCUGAGAGGGUGACCGGCCACAUUGGGACUGAGACACGGCCCAAACUCCUACGGGAGGCAGCAGUGGGGAAUAUUGCACAAUGGGGGAAACCCUGAUGCAGCGACGCCGCGUGAGCGAUGAAGUAUUUCGGUAUGUAAAGCUCUACCAGCAGGGAAGAAAAUGACGGUACCUGACUAAGAAGCACCGGCUAAAUACGUGCCAGCAGCCGCGGUAAUACGUAUGGUGCAAGCGUUAUCCGGAUUUACUGGGUGUAA